AACGAACGCUGGCGGCAGGCUUAACACAUGCAAGUCGAACGCACCUUUCGGGGUGAGUGGCAGACGGGUGAGUAACGCGUGGGAAUCUACCCUUCUCUACGGGAUAGCUCCGGGAAACUGGAAUUAAUACCGUAUACGUCCUGAGGGAGAAAGAUUUAUCGGGGAAGGAUGAGCCCGCGUUGGAUUAGCUAGUUGGUGGGGUAAGGGCCUACCAAGGCGACGAUCCAUAGCUGGUCUAAGAGGAUGAUCAGCCACAUUGGCACUGAGACACGGCCCAAACUCCUACGGGAGGCAGCAGUGGGGAAUAUUGGACAAUGGGCGCAAGCCUGAUCCAGCCAUGCCGCGUGAGUGAUGAAGGCCCUAGGGUUGUAAAGCUCUUUCAGUGGGGACGAUAAUGACGGUACCCACAGAAGAAGCCCCGGCUAACUUCGUG
Molecule: ribosomal RNA, 433 nt
Filed under: uncultured bacterium
Lineage: Bacteria
Description: partial 16S ribosomal RNA
Rfam family: Bacterial small subunit ribosomal RNA
Source: RNAcentral